Molecule: long non-coding RNA, 2306 nt
Filed under: Triticum aestivum (bread wheat)
Lineage: Eukaryota; Viridiplantae; Streptophyta; Magnoliopsida; Poales; Poaceae
Description: long non-coding RNA (TAES_LNC000080)
Source: RNAcentral
GCAGGCACUCUUAUAUCGCUUUAGUUUCCUCCCAAGGUUUUUUAGCAGUAGGGAUACAUGCCAAGGGGAGGAAUCUCAUGUUCAACAUCGACACAAUGAAACUGCUGCUAGAUAUGAACUUGAAAACUCCUAGCUACUAUGAAUUUUCUUUAUGCUCAUUCUGUCCGUGUUAGUUUAGCUAGGAUAUUAAUUUGCAAAAAAAAGAAUAUAUGACAGUGCUAGGUCACAAAUUGGUCUCCACAUUUAUGUACUUUUCUUUCUAAACCAGAAAACGGUUCCCACGCACACACGUAGCAUAAGCAUACCUGCAAGUCAUAUGCAAAGUCCCUGAAUCUCUGACUCUCUGGCAGUAACAACCACAGCUGUUGUUUUCUUCAAGAAACGGCCACUGCUAUGUGCUGUGCAGAGAAACAAGGCUGCUGGGCCCAGUGACAAAACUUAGGAACAGUUGAAAGUACUUCCAGGAACCUGCUCCCGGCAUCAAUCAAUGUAGGCCAUGCAAGUACCUAACGCAGAUUCAUCACGCAUCCUGUGCCUCCAAAGUUGGUACAAUAUCGCACAUCUCCUUUGACCUGAUCAGCAUCCAUGCACGUGUGUUAGCUAGGGAAAUAAGCCCCAGGCUGUACAGAAGGCAACAUGUCACACACGUUCUCUGGCCUUGGCCAUUAGAUGAGCCAUCGAAAAGUUUCAGUAAGGUGGGAAAAGUCACCUAACUCAGCAUGAUUCUACGAUAAGACACAACAAUAAUGUCCUAAUGAUCUUAGACAUUACCCUUCAUCUAGAAAACCUGCAUUUCUUUUAAGGCACCACGCUGCUGUAGCGGCAUACUUUUAUCCACAAAGGCGUGGGAUACGAAUCCCUGUUCCCAUGAUGACCAAUAUAAAAAAAUCCCUGCAUACAGUCUUAGCGUUAAUCAAUACCUUCUUACCUGUAACGAUACUUAUGUAUAACAAAAGUACCAGUAUUAAUUAGGAAGCAAACCUCUCGCUUUUGGUUAUGCCAUUUCGUGUACUUUGGCAGCUUGGUUUCACAUAUGAUAUAUGAUGUAUUGCCAUGUGUAUGGAGAGGUUCCUAGAGACUUAUGGUUUGUUAGGGGUGGGCCUACCGUGAUAUAGAAGGUUAAAGUGAGACAUCAGACCGAUUACUGAUCUAUUGUAAGAUUGUACAUGCCUUGGUAAGGUAAUUCAAACCAGUAACUGUAACAUUCCGAUUCAAUCACUGUAACAUUCCAACUCACGAAGGGUGAAACUAAAAAAAAGGCAGCCUGGUGCACAUAGCUCCCGUUUACGCAGGGUCCGGGGAAGGGUCCGAUCACUUUGGGUCUUUCGUACGCAGCAUUUCCCUACAUUUCUGCAAGAGGCUGUUUUCAAGACUCGAACCCAUGACCUCAUGGUCACAAGGCAACAGCUUUACCUCCAAGGCAUGGUCACGAAGGGUGAAAUUACAUGAUCACAAAUUUAUGUGAUUAGUUCACAAAGCUAUUGUGUAUGGAUAUGUUUGUUGAAGACAUUCUGUACUCGCAACUUUGCAGAACUUUCAUAAGAAUAGUUGUUCUUCAAGUGGUGAUGGUACUAUUGAUAUUUCAUCAGUGUUACAGUGUGCAUUUGUAUUAACUCGUCAAUAAAAUAAUUACUGAGUUUAAAGUUUAAACUUUUAUAAGAAUCUCCAUCUACACUUGUCUACCAAAUCACCAAAGCUUAAAGUUCGAGUAACUACAACACCAGAAAUGAAGACCGAAACAUGACAUAGGGCAUAGCACCUUUGGAAGAAAAUCAGAUGAUUUAAACCUUUGGAGUUACUCCCUCCAUUCCUAAAUAUAUGUUGAGAUUCCAAUAUAGACUACAUAUGGAGUAAAAUGAGUGAAUCUACACUCUAAAGUAGGUCUAUAUACAUCUGUAUGUAGUUCGUAUUGAAAUCUCUAAAAGGACUUAUAUUUCGGAACGGAGGGAGUACUUGAUAGAAGAGUUAUUGUCGAAGCAGUUGACAAUGCCUGGUAGCUCACUUAUUUUAUACGCAUCGUCUAACAACCCAGCUGCCCUGCAGCAUCUCACAGUUCUUUCCCAGAAACCACCCUUCUUUCUCUUCCCUACAUGCGCCUCAUCCUCCUACUAUAUAAACCACCCCAUUCUGCACCUCAUAACCCACAAGAGAAGUAGAAACAAACAAAUAACAAGUCUCUUCUAUUACUUGUAACAAAGUGCAGCUAAGGACACUUACAUGGCGACUUCCAUGAGUUGCCUGCUGGUGCUAUGCCUUGUCUGUCCCCUCCUUGCUGGUGUUGUACGUGCCAACCCAUGGUACGGCUU